Alligator mississippiensis (American alligator) is the source of this 307-nucleotide long non-coding RNA. RefSeq lists it as uncharacterized. The record is from RefSeq and is a predicted model, not a curated record. Lineage: Eukaryota; Metazoa; Chordata; Crocodylia; Alligatoridae. The transcript is spliced from 3 exons.
UGUUGCCCCUUGCAGACUGUCUCCUGAGAUGCCACACUUCCUGGACACUGUUUCCAGGAGGACAUAAUUUAUGUCACAAACACCAACAUGGCUGUUUGUCUGUGAUAUCCCUUCUCUGUGGAGCAAAACAUAAGUUAUCUUAUAUGUGAUGAUGCACCAGCCCAUCUGCACCCCCUGUGUCAAAAAUCCUCAGUCCACCCAUGAAAAGCAUUUAAGAGUACAUCUAUAUUACACAAGGCAAAGAUGCCCCAAGCUGCCUGUCACUGUGCUAAUUCACAUCCUGGAGUUCCCCUGCUGUGAGGCAAUA